Molecule: transfer RNA, 91 nt
Filed under: Rhodococcus qingshengii
Lineage: Bacteria; Bacillati; Actinomycetota; Actinomycetes; Mycobacteriales; Nocardiaceae
Description: tRNA-Ser
Source: RNAcentral
UCCCCUGCUGACGCAUGGCGCAUGUCACCCGUCCGAAUCGCUUCGGCGUUACGAGUCGGGAAGCUGUCGGUUCGAAUCCGGCCAGGGGAGC